Molecule: small RNA, 21 nt
Filed under: Arabidopsis thaliana (thale cress)
Lineage: Eukaryota; Viridiplantae; Streptophyta; Magnoliopsida; Brassicales; Brassicaceae
Description: AGO1_5619
Source: RNAcentral
CAUCCUAGUACUACUCUCGCC